RNAcentral lists this long non-coding RNA (2339 nucleotides) under Capsicum annuum. RNAcentral's name for it is "long non-coding RNA (CANN_LNC021112)". Lineage: Eukaryota; Viridiplantae; Streptophyta; Magnoliopsida; Solanales; Solanaceae. The record is from RNAcentral.
CUUCUUCUUUCUACUAAUUCAUUGCCCCUUUCUGAACAUUCUCCUUUCCUAUUAUUUUUAGGUAAAGUUUGCAAUCCAAUAUAUGCGUAGAGCCGUUUUGAAAAAGGCAAAGUUUGACAUAACCGAGUUGAACACAAUUAAGGUAUUUCUUUUGGGAAGGUGUUUUAUGUAUGAGUUUUGAUGAUAUAAGCUUUUUUUAUGUUUGAAAAUGUUCAGCAACUGAGAAAUGAACAGUGAGUGCGCAAGUGAAGAUAUUGUAGGAAAGUUUCCUAAUCUGUUUCGAGUUUUUGUGGGAUGCAUUUUCAGAAGUGAUAGUUUCAUUUUAUUUUUAGCACAAUUUUAUUUAUCAUCUUUGGUCUUUCCUUUAAGCUAAAUUUGAUGUAGGUUGCAAAGUCAUGCUUUGUCCCUGUUUUACUGGGUCAUGCUGUCGAUGAUGAUUUUAUACAGCCCCAUCAUUCGGAUCGUGUAUUUGAAGCUUACAUGGUAACUGUCUAAUUUCCCCCUCCCCCCUUCCGGAGAUUAUCUUUUUCUUCUGUUUUUCUCUACAUAUCUUAUGUGUUUGAAUGCAUUUCAAAUGUUCCUUUUCUUCUUGAAAUAGAUCCCUAGGUCUGGACCAUCAGUUCUUUAAAGCGAUGCUCUUUGAUGCUCUAUGUAUGUUCAAUCCGUUACACUUGCAUUGUUUUCUCUGAAAUUGAAUACGCUAAAGCAAUAUGUUCUCUCUUGAACAUCUAUAUAAUAUUGAUAUUGAUUUGCAAUUCUGUUGGACCUAAGAUAUCAAGCAGUUUACUUUUGUUUUUAUAUUGCUUAUCCUUGUAAGUGGUAUUUAUUGCCGUGUUUCCACAAAUGACGUAUGCCAGUAUAUCUCAUCUUGCUUCUUAUUGUGUAUAUGAACUUAAUUUUUGCAGGGAGACAAGAAUAUUAUAAAAUUUGACGGUGAUCACAACUCUCCACGCCCACAGUUCUAUUUUGAUUCUAUAAGUAUCUUCUUCAACAAUGUUUUGCAACCACCAGAGGAUGAAGCUGGGGCUGCAUUCUUUGACAUGCCACAAGAUUAUUUUGGCAAGGUAUAGUUCUAUAUCCAUUUCAUUAUUGGUUAAGUGUGAGGAAACUGCUGGAGUUAGGCUCAUAAAACUCACUGGAUUUGAACUCAUUUCCAGGGCAGUUGGAGUACAGUCCAUGAACUGGACUUCAUGGAUGAUGUCCACAAUGGUAUUACUCCUGUUCCCUUUAAUGUGCGGCUGAUGUUCCGUUUGGUCCAAUUUUUCAUCUGUUUUUUCUGAUGCUUCACGCCAUGCAAAUAUCAUGUGUGAUACAUGUUUAAUUUGUUAUCAGUUGCAGCUGCACCGACUAGUAGCACUGAAGAUGUAAUAAAUCAGGUUCGCUCCAAAAGACCCAUGAGUCGGACAGAGGUAACAAAAAAACCUUCCAGUUAUUGCUUUGAUAAUUGGUAAAAUAGGUGGCAUGACGCAUGAGCUCCAUUAGAUUAUGGGAGAGUUGCAGGUUUUCUAGAGGACAAACUCAUAUAAUUGAAAAUAAAUUCAUAUGCGGACACGUUUGCUUGAAUACCUUGUCCAAGCUGAAAAAGAGUAUGGGUGGAAGUGUGUAGUUACUGACUGUUGAAGACAUAAUUAAAUAUAGGUAAAACGGAUCAAAUCUACUCCUCUUACUAUGCAAAAAGGAUCAAAUUUAUCUUCUGCUGUACUAUGUACUAUCCGUAUGAAAAUACCCCCACCGUUACCUAAAUUGUUCAAAUAUAUUGUUCCUCCGUUAGGGUUGUCCAAGGUGGACACUCAAUCCAAAGUGGCACUGUCAUUUUGAUGAGGUGGACGCCAUGUGACAUUCCACUUUAGCACCCCAACCCAGUUUACCCUCCCUUCUCCUUGUUCUUCCACCAUUACCAUGCAUAUCUCUCAUUUGUGUCAACUUUAUCUUCACGAAUAACACCAUGAGGCCAAGGACGAAAGUCCAACUAACCUGGCUUAUAGCAGAGGUUAGCUCCAAUCCUAGAUAUAGAUUAUGUUGUACCUAGUACGUUGAUUCAGUUGGAAAUUUGAAAGAAAAAAAAACAAGUGUUUGAACAAAUUAACUGAGAAAGGAAAGAACGGAUUAAUCCCAAAACAUGGGAGCAGUGAGAAAAUCCAAAAACCAUUACAAAGUCGACAAAUUAGCUAUGCAGCUAAACCAAAGUGCAGAAUCAUUGAACUGUGGAUGCACUUUAGUAUCUGUAUGAAGGUUAACAUUGAUUUUUCUUGUUUCUGAUCAAGUAAUGGAAAAUGACUGAUAUUACGGAUAACAACAACAACAAACCCAAUGUAAUCCCACAAGUGGGGUAUGGGGAG